GAAUUAUGUUUUCUAGAUGGGUUGUAGCUGGCUCUUCGGAGUAUGUGCACGCCUGUCUGGACUUCAUUUUCAUCCACCUGUGCACCUUUUGUAGUCUUUUUCAGGUAUUGGAGGAAGUGGUCAGCCUAUCAGCUCUUUGCUGGAUGUAAGGACUUGCAGUGUGAAAACAGUGCUGUCCUUUACCUUGGCCAUGGAAUCUUUUUCCUGUUAGAGUCUAUGUUAUUCAUUAUACUCUUAGAAUGUCAUUGAAUGUCUUUACAUGGGCUAUGCCUAUGAAAAUUAUUAUACAACUUUCAGCAACGGAUCUCUUGGCUCU
RNAcentral lists this unclassified non-coding RNA (316 nucleotides) under rhizosphere metagenome. RNAcentral's name for it is "partial ribosomal RNA internal transcribed spacer region". The record is from RNAcentral.